AGUCGAGUGACACUGCGCCGAAAAUGUACCGGGGCUAAACAUAUUACCGAAGCUGUGGAUUGUCCUUUGGACAAUGGUAGGAGAGCGUUCUAAGGGCGUUGAAGCAUGAUCGUAAGGACAUGUGGAGCGCUUAGAAGUGAGAAUGCCGGUGUGAGUAGCGAAAGACGGGUGAGAAUCCCGUCCACCGAUUGACUAAGGUUUCCAGAGGAAGGCUCGUCCGCUCUGGGUUAGUCGGGUCCUAAGCUGAGGCCGACAGGCGUAGGCGAUGGAUAACAGGUUGAUAUUCCUGUACCACCUAUAAUCGUUUUAAUCGAUGGGGGGACGCAGUAGGAUAGGCGAAGCGUGCGAUUGGAUUGCACGUCUAAGCAGUAAGGCUGAGUAUUAGGCAAAUCCGGUACUCGUUAAGGCUGAGCUGUGAUGGGGAGAAGACAUUGUGUCUUCGAGUCGUUGAUUUCACA
RNAcentral lists this ribosomal RNA (458 nucleotides) under Escherichia coli. Its description in RNAcentral is "partial 23S ribosomal RNA". It matches the Rfam family "Bacterial large subunit ribosomal RNA", at positions 1147 to 1604 of the family's 2925-position model. The record is from RNAcentral. Lineage: Bacteria; Pseudomonadati; Pseudomonadota; Gammaproteobacteria; Enterobacterales; Enterobacteriaceae.